CAACCCCAACAACGUCAACCUGCAGAAGGAAAGGCCAGUUUUCCUUCAAUUGAAGGUCAUGGAGAUCAUUACGUGUCAUGCAAUGGUGAAGAGGUUGGGUGCGAACGACACGUGUUGCACCAUUAUCAAGCAGGUAAAAUAGCCGCAAGACUUAGGGGGUGAGGGUGAGAAAAAAAUCGUAUAAAAGGAGAGAGAAAAUGCUACAGAAAUCAGUCGAGUGAGGAUCUCCGACACGAGAACAACUGCUGCACUAUUGGUCUCCAACUGCCUUCUUCAUCGCAUUAUCAGUUCGCAAUCAUGGUCAACUGUGGGUCGUGCUGCUGUUGGGUGUUUUGUUGAUGGCUGGGGAGACCACGGGACUACCGAUGUCUUCUGAGUAUGGUGGAUACCAAACAUCAACGCCGCCGCCUUACUGCACAACGCAGUCAACAUACGCAACAUCUACUUACUACACCGACGCUUUCAAGUACUUCUCUUCAAGCUACUACAAAACUGAGGCUCCUGUUUACUACACCAAGGCCACCGAGUAUUACACUACAACCAAAUGUUAACUAUGGCGUCGUGCUGCUGUUGGUUGUUGUAUCCUUGAUGAUUGGGUCGACUACGGGUGAACCGAUGUCUCGUGGGUAUGUCGGAGACCAAACCGCAACGCAGCCGUCUUACUGCACGACAAAAACAUACGCAAUAACCAGAUACUACACCGCCAAGGCCCCAGAGUAGUGCACCACAACUUAUGAUGUUCUGAACUACUACACUGAAGCCCCA
RNAcentral lists this unclassified non-coding RNA (765 nucleotides) under Daphnia pulicaria. RNAcentral's name for it is "uncharacterized LOC124326647, transcript variant X1". The record is from RNAcentral. Lineage: Eukaryota; Metazoa; Arthropoda; Branchiopoda; Diplostraca; Daphniidae.